AUUAAAGAAUGUGGGGCCCAUGUGAUCGCAAAGAAGUUAAAUUCAUUUGAAGAGUCGGCAAUGGGAAGAGCUACAGUGAUGCCUUCACCAUCGCUGUAUCAUCUGCUUCCUCAUCCCCAUUGUGGUUCAAUUACAGCAUCUACACCUAAGCAAUGGAGUAAUUAUUUAUUUGCGAAGCUGCAAGAAUAUAACCUCAGUUUAACAUUUCAUGGUAAGAACAAAUAUUUCCUUUAGUUAUUUUUAUUCUAUUAUAUUUAAUUUAUGAGAUUAAAUAUUAUCUUUAAUUAUUUCAUUAUUAUUAUUUAAUCUAAAACAUUAAAUAUCAUCUUUAAUUAAAAAAUAUAUAUAUAUUUAAGGCUUUUUGGUAAGAAUACAUAUUUCCUUUAGUUAUUUCUAUUUAAUUUAAGAGAUUAAAUAUCAUCUUUAAUUGUUACAAUAUUUUUCUUAUUUAAUCUAAAAUUUUAAAUAUUUUCUUUAACAAUAUUUUUUAUUAAAUAUUUAGAGUCUACUUGGUUUUAUUUUUUUUCUUGAUUUUAUGAUAAUAUUUUUCUUAUUUAGUAUAAAAAAUAAAUAUUAUCUUUAAUAAUUAGAUCUAUCGAAUAUCACUUAAAAAAUAAAUUAUAACUUUAAUAAUUAUUUUUUGAAAAACAAAAAGCCAACAAUCACUAACAUAUUUUAUUAAAAUCACUUUAGUUUAUUUAGAAAAUAUUGAAAAUUGAUUAUUUUUUUUACAUUAAAAUAAAAAAAUUAAAAAAUGUUUUUAUAUUUUAUUUCAAAGUCGAUAUUUUAAAACAAAAAUGAAAAAGAUGUGAUAUUAACCUUUUUUAUUAUAAAGUAAGUUUUUUAAUUAAAAGUGAUGAGAAUUUGUUCGUAAUAACAAAAUGCAUGUUUAAUUUUCUUUUCAAACUUGGAAUAUAUUUCUAUUGAAUUUGAUGGUUUUUUUAUCUUAAAACACUUGCCAGCAAUCUUGUUUUUUCAAUGCUGCCAUUUAGCAAGUGGAGUACUGUAGCUUUUCCACAUACAUUGAAUAAUAACAGUUUGAAUAAAUAACAAGAAAAUAGAAAUUAGUUUUAUUAAUUUGAACGGUACAUCAUUCAUCGAAUAAAUUACAAAAAAGUAUUAUUGAGAUACUAUUUUUUUCAGUUUCUAUUGCACCAAAAUAAACACAUAUAUUUGUCACAUAUAUUAAUUAAUAUCAAAAAUCUCUGUAUUCCUUGAAAUCAAUAUGUAUACAAGUAAUAAUCAUUAUUAUUUUAUUUUAUUUUAAAAAAUAAAUAUCAUAUUAAAUAAUAUUUUUUAUUUUUCUUAUUUAAUUUAAAAAAUUAAAUAUUAUCUUUAAUAAUAUUUUUUAUUAAAUAUUUAAAGUCUGAUUGGUUUUAUUCUUUAUUUCUUGAUUUUAUGAUAAUAUAUUUAUACAGGCAAUGUGCAACGGUCGUCACCCGUAACGUAUUGCUUCAUUUCGUGGUGAGAUGCCAAAUUGGAUGAGCUACGGUGGAGAAGGAUGCUCCUUGUCAUUCCAUAUACCUCCAGUCUUCCAAGGCUUAGUUGUUUGGUUUGUCUAUCCACUUGAGAAGGAUUGUCAUAACCUAUUUUUAGGUUAUUUUUCAAUAUAUAUAUUUUUUUUUCUUCAAAAAAAUUACAAAAAAAAUCUAAAAAUAUUAUAAAAAAUAUAACAGUAAAAAGAGGAUGUCAGAACGCUCAGAAAAUAGUUAAAAUUUGGUUGAGGAGGUUUAAAAAUAUAAAAAUUAAAAUUUGGUAGUAUUUUAUUAACUGAUGAUAGCCCUGUUGACAAAGAAAAUUCAAUUUGAGAAAAAAAAAGUCUAAAAUCAGAUGUUGAGGGACUCAAUUAAAUUAUAUUGAAAGUUUAAUUGAAUUUAUGGAGGGUUUGAUUGUAAGAAAAAUUGAUUUUGGAGUUAAUUUGGGCUUUAAUUGGAAGAAAUUAAAGUUCUGGGGUCAGAUUAUAUUUUUUUUUAGAGUUGAUUUGGUCAAAUUGGGGGCUUAAUUGCAUAAAUAUUAAAGUUUGAUGGCCAAUCGGGGACUUAAUUGAAGAAAUCUGAGACCAAGGACCAAAAUGCAAAACGCGCGCAAAUUGAAGGAUUGAAUUGAAAUCUAGCGCUUUGGCUCCAAUUUUCAUUUAAAUGAAACAGUGCGUUUUAAGCAAAACGACGUCGUUUCAUGCACUUUCCAAAAAAAAAAAAGAGGACGAAACGGUGCCGUUUUGAGGCGGCACUGUUUCUUCUUCUUCUUCCCCUGGACAUGCAGCAGGGGAAGAGGCGUUUUUGUUUUCUUCUCUUUGUUUCUUCCUCUCCCUCCCCAUGUGCUCUGUUACAACCAAAACCGGUCGCCACUUGCCUCAUGAUGAGAUGCCAAAGCAGUCGUGCCCCGCAAGCGACGCCUCCAUUGGCCACCUCUGUCGGCGCCGUGACAGAGCAGGAGACGUGCGACGCAUGCAUGGGCAACGAUGGGACGGGGCAGGGUCGACCCCGCUCCCCUUGCCCCUAUAAAUAGUGACCCGAAAGGAGAAAAAAAGGAACACGGGAGAAAACAGGGAGGGAAACCGAGAGAGAGAAAUCGAUAGUGUUGAGAGAGAAAUGACUGAAACAGUAGAAACCAAAAAAACCGGGGAUAUCGAUAGGGAGACCGAGAGAGACAGACGGGGAGAAGGAAGAAAAAGGACAAAAGAGGUAAACCGAUGGGGAAGAAGACACUGACUGGUGUCUCUACACAGCGGAGAAGAAGCGCCGCUGCUGGCAUUGGGCUUCACAGUCACCGCCACCGCAACACCACCGAGAACGUUCACCAGCAUCACCGUCAGCUCAGCCAUCCGAGAUCACCACCUCAGGUAAAUUCUCUUCCCCUCACGCCGAUAAUUAUUCAUCUUCUUGCUUGUAGAACGUGCACUGUGCACGUUCUGCAUGCAAGAAGAAAUAAUUAGUCGGUUACCGUGCAUGCGCACAGUAACCGGCUAAUUAAUUAACUAGUUACUGUGCUCAUGCAUAGUAACUAGUCAUUGGUUUCUUCUUCUGCGAGUUGGAACAUCAGCCCAGCCCACGCGACUGGGCUGAGUCCAACCCCCUUUUUUUUAUGCGGGCUGGAACAUCAGCCCAGCCCACGCGGCUGGGCUGAGUCCAGCCCUGUUAACUGCGGCCUGGAACAUCAACCCAGCCCAUGCAGCUGGGCUGAGUCCAGCCUUGUUGCUGGGCCAAUACAGGCCCAACCCAGUUCAUUUCAUUUUUUCUUUUUUCCUUUUUGUUUUGUGUUUUAUAUAUAUAUAUUGUGAUUUUCCCACGGAUUUUUCUACGUCAUUUUAACUAAUAUUGGUCUAUAUUUUUUACUCGGUUUUCAAAAAAAAAAACUUUUGCUUUCAUGCAUACGGCCAAGUCUCUCAAAGCUAAAAAAUCAUAUUGUAUUUUUAUACAACAAAGAAAACUAAAAAAAUAUAUAUUAUUUUAGCAUGCAUUUUAGCUUUAAUAACCAGUUUAUUAAAGUCAUGAUAACUUGGCCAAUAUUUCAAAAAAUCAAAAAAAAUAUUUUGUUUUGUUUUAAUGUCUGGGAUUACGAAUUUAUACGUAAAACGUAUUCCCGAUAUUAAAAAGGUAGUUCUUUUAUAGACAUUAGGCCGGUUAGAUUUUUACCCCAUAAGAUAAGAACCUCCUUACUGAGGAGGGCUUUUCUUGAACCCUAGACAGACCAACAUGAUAAGACCUUAGAUUUUUUAUUAGACAAUAAAACAAUGCAGCUUACCUUAGGUAGGGUGUAUUUGAGGUGCUAAUACCUUCCCUUUGCGCAACCAGUCUCCGUACCCGAUCUCUAAGACCAGUUAGGGUUCCUAGUGAUCAGAAUACUAGGUGGCGACUCUCAUUCCAUUUUUUCACCGCUAAGAGACAAAGAAUUCCUUGUUUUACCAUAUUUUCCAGAAUAGAUAGACAUACCACAUUUGAUGAUGAGGGUGGUGGAUGAUCGCCGCACACGUGCGAUAGAAUGGUGACUCCACUGGGGACCCAUCAAAUCAAUCAACAGAAAAAAAAAUCACCAAGCCGAUGCCGCGCGGGUGACAUGCGACAAGGAUGAUCAUUAUUACUCACGGUCUGGCACUAUUAUUAUUAUUAUUAUUAUUAUUAUUAUUAUAAGAAAUAAAAGCAAUGGUAUUCAAUUGAUUAAAGAUAAACGAAUAGUAGGACCUUUCCUACCAAAAACUGCGGGAUGGAUAAGAUACAUAAGUAGAAGUGAAAUGGAAAAUGGAAGAUUACUGUGGAGAUGACGAAUUGGAACUAUACGUAUAUUCAGAGCCAAGAGGAGAUACAGUGCGCAUCAUUAAAAAAUGUGGGGUUCAUGUGAUCGCAGGGAAGUUAGAUUCAUUUGAAGAGUCGGAAGUGGAAAGAGAUAUAAUGAUGCCUUCACCACCGUUGUAUCAUCUGCUUCCUCAUCUCCAUUGUGGUUCAAUUACAGCGUCUACACCUAAGCAAUGGAGUGACUAUUUAUUUGCGAAGCUGAGUAAAUAUAACCUCAGUUGAACGCUUCAUGGUAAGAACAAAUAUUUCAUUUAGUUAUUUCUAUUUUAUUCUAUUUAAUUUAAGAGAUUAAAUAUUACCUUUAAUUAUUUCAUUAUUAUUAUUUAAUCUAAGAAAUUAAAUAUCAUCUUUAAUAAAAAAAAUUAUUAAAUAUUUAAGGCUUUUUGCUAAGAAUACAUGUUUCCUUCAGUUAUUUCUAUUUUAUUCUAUUUAAUUUAAGAUAUUAAAUAUAAUCUUUAAUUAUUUUAUUUUUCUUAUUUAAUUAAUCUAAAAAAUUAAAUAUGUUCUUUAAUAAUAUUUUUUAAAAAAUAUUUAGAGUCUGAUUGGUUUUAUUUUUUAUUUCUUGAUUUUAUAAUAAUAUUUUUCUUAUUUAAUUUAAAAAAUAAAUAUUAUCUUUAAUAAUUAGAUCUAUCAAAUAUCACGUAAUUAAUUAUAUCAUUAUUUUAUUGGUAGCAACUUAGGAGUCUUUUAAGCCAAAAGAAUAAUAGCUAGGAAGAGCUAAAAUUAGCAAGGAAUAUUUAGAGUCUGUUUGAUUUUAUUGUUUUUCUUUGAUUUCUUAAUAAAAAAAAUCAAAUUCUUGAAAACAAAAAUUGAAAACUUAUACGUUUUGAUUUUGAUUUUAUUUUUGAAAAUGAAAAGCCACCAAUCAAUAGCAUAAUCUAUUAAAAUCACUUUGUUUUAUUUAGAAAAUAUUGAAAACUGAUUUUUUUUACAUUAAAAUAAAAAAUUGAACAAUAUUUUUAUAUUUUAUUUCAAAUUUGAUAUUUUAAAACAAAAAUGAAAACGAUGUGAUAUUAACCUUUUUUUUAUUAUAAAGUAAGUUUCUUAAUUAAAAGUGAAGGUGAUUUGUUUGUAAUAACAAAAUGCAUAUACAAUCAUGCAAAAGUUGUAUUUAAUCAACUCUGCUAUUGAAUUUAAUGGUUUUUUAGGGAACAAAUGAUAUGGAUGAAUGUGAGAGCACAAGAUCAUUUUACAAAGAGAUUGAUUGGUACUUAAAAAUAUAUUUUUAUUAAGGUUUUAUAUCAUCAUAUUGCAUUUAAAGUAUAAUUAAAUUCUCUAAUUUAAGCAUAUUUUAUAAUAACAAGUCUGAUAACAUAAAAUAUAUUUAAUUUAUGGUAAAUGCUCAUUUUGAAUGCAGGCAUAUCUCACAAUUUAAAGGAUUGAUUGAUGUGUUUAACUAUUAAAAGUGAAAAGACAAAAAGAAGGCUAAGCUUAAAGAAGAAAUGUUGGUUCAAUUCAAACUGGAAUAUCAUUAUGUUAUUGAAUCAUAACUAUAGCUAUAGAACAUGGAUUUAGGUUUGGUUUAUAUGGAUGGAAAGCUAAGACAUAGGCCUAAAACUUUCAUGAAGAGUUCAAGAUUCAAAACGGCCCUUUUCAAGUUCAAAUUAUAGCAACAAAAGAGAAGUCGAAAUAUGACUUGUAACCUAGACACUGUUCAGUGUUCAGCCCAUAUCUCGAGUUCUAGAAGUUCAAAUAAUCUCAUUCUUGUUUUGUUGGAAAACUGAGACAAAUGCCCAGAAGUUUCAUGAAGACUAUCUGUUCAAAUUUUGAUGUUAGCAUGUUGUGUUCAGACAAGAAGAUAAUGGUUGUCACCAAGUCAAUAGGUGGCCACCCACUUAAUAAUUAGUCAUUAAAUCAAUAGUUCUGAAUUUUGGACUCUAAAAGAAGGCAUUUGCCAUACAUUUAGACAUCUUGGUGUUCAGAUCAAGAUCUUGCUCUCACUCUCUCUAUUUGUAUUUUGUAAUGUUCAAGUUUUAUUUUAUGUUAUAUUAAUCUCUUAUUUAUGCUUUUCAUUUCUUUUACUAUACUUAGUUAACUUAUAUCAUGUUUAUGUUAUUAUGUUGUUUAUUUAUGUUUUUCUUCUUCAUGAUGUUUAUCUAAGUUAAUUUUGUCAAGGUGAAAAGGGUACACUAAUGGUGUAAGAAUAAGUAUAAUACAAACUCCACAUAGACUUUAAUGUUUAAUACUAACAUGUUUUGUAUUUGUUAUCUUACUCACUCUUUAUACCUUACUUGUUAAAUGGUUAAUCUAAAUUUAUGUUGUACAACCCUUGGCAUAACAAAUACUUGACACUUUCAUAACCUACUGUAUGGUAUAAUCAACACUUGUGCUAUGAAAGGAACUUGAUUUAUUGUUAACAUAAAUUAUCAUCAUGAAUACCUGACCACAUUUACAAGUAUUGGCAUUACUCAAAUAAGAUAAUUAAUAUAAUCAUGUAUGUGGUUUCUAGUUGAGUAAUAAAAAGAGUUUAUACUAUACUUAUUUGAAAUACCUCUAACUUUAACAAUUGUUUUAUCCUUGUUUAAUCCUUACAUCAAUAUCACAUUUCAAAAGUUCUCUUCAACUCCUUUUUAAUUGUUGUUUAUAAUUUUAUAUAAUUCAUCUCCCUGUGUUUCAACCCCGGUCUUGCCGGGUUAUUUAUUACUUUGACACUCCUGCACUUGAUAUAAGACAUCAAUCUCUUGAUCGUGUUAGAGAUGCUUGAAGUUACUCUUUAUUGGUAUGGUAGUUGUUUCUAACGAGUUGAUAAGUAUUUGUUAGCUUGAAGAUUAUUUUCCAAACUUGGAAGUUAUAUUGAAUGCUUUUUGAAAUCUUUUCCAUCCGAUUUGAAAUUGGACAACCUAAUUGUUAUUAUCCAUUAUGUAAUUUAUAUUUUCAAGUUUCAACUUUUGAUGAAUAUUGUAUUGAAUGCUCUUUGAAAUCUUUUCCAUCCGAUUUGAAAUUGAAAAACCUAGUUGUUAUUAUCCAUGACGUAAUUUAUAUUUUCAAGUUACAACUUUUGAUGAAUAUUGUUUCCUUUUUUUCUCACUUCUUGGAAGUAUUCUCAAAAAGAUGAAAAUCCUCGAUCUUAGUUAUAAAUAAAUUGGUUUUCUAGGAAGAGAUUAUUAGGUGGGAUAUAUUAUUUGAGUUGGUUCUUCAUCAUUUAAUGUUAUGAUUUAAGAUAAUUGAUGAAAACUACCAAUACACAAGAAUGUUUAGAAAGCAUCUUUAAUUGGUCUAAUAAGUAAAGUCUUGUUAGUUUUGGCCAUAAGCUAUGUAUUAUUGCUUGUUUUUUACUAUUUUUUUACCUUUUUUGUUUUUUGUAUAUACAACUUUUGUUUUUCUUGCGAGUUUCUCAUUAGCUUUAUGGCACUAACAUCAAUUAAUAAUAAAUCUUGGACUAUUAUUAAAUAAAAAAAAACAUAAACAUUGUUAAAACACCAAACUUGCAUAGUUCAAACCUAGAGAAACCCUAUGCCAAUAAUCUAAUUUAAAAAAAUAAUUAAUUUAUCCUUGUAGUCUUAGAAAAUAGUAUUUAAUCCUUAUGUUUUUACAUUUAUCUUUGAUUUAACCUUUUACAUCUAUUUCAUCUUAUUAUUUUGGUUUACUAAGUAAAGUCUUAGAAACCUAUUUAUGGUCUUAAACAACUUAAAAAGGCUCAAAAACCUAAAAUGAACUCAAACCUGAAAAUCUUCAUGCUGAGAGGUCUGUUUCAUCAAGCAAGGAAAAAGAAAAAAAAAACAUAGGUGAAACUUCCCUCAUCAAAUAAAAUCCAAUGACACUAGGAUUGACUAUUUUGGUGGCUAGAAUAGAAGUCAACGAUAACAUUUUCUUUCCACGUCGGAAUCUAGCAAGUUUCUCUCUUCUCUCACAAAAAAAAACUAAAAAAUAAGGAAAAUAAAGUUUGGUAUUAAAAUCAAAUUUCCGACAACUAAAGAGACCAAUCACCUAUUAACUAAAAACAAUUGGGGACCGAACUAAGUUUUUCAUAUGAAAUAUGAAGUUGACAUCUAUUUUCUCCAUGUUUUUUACUUUGGUUAUCUAUCUUUCAAUCCAACCCUUUCUUCAUAAAAAUAGAAGUAACUUUGUAUUAAUUUGGACUAAAAAAGGUACAAUAGUGCAAAAACAAAUUGAGGAUCAAAUUGAGAAUUAAAAAAUAAUUGAUUAUUUUAAUCUAUAAUGAUAUGUGAGAGAGUGCACAUUAUAAAGUGAAGAGAAAAAACUCCACAUGACUUUGAAACACCUUUGAUGGUUGAUUGAAAUUGGUAAGUGAGUUUCCUCACAUGUUGUUUUUUCGGUUUUGAGUCCAAAUAUGGAGAUUUUAUGAUUUAAGGUAUUUUUCAUGAAUGCAACCCUUCAUGUAUUCAAUAACUUAUUUUCUAGUAUAAACUACGUUUGAAAUAAAAUUGAUAAAAGACAUGUGGUACACAAUUAAUGAUGGCAUGUAUAUAAAAAUAAUUAAAUUGAAAAUUUUCAAUUAUCUUUAAAGAUAUCAUGGUUUUAGUCGGUUAAAUUAUAAAAAAAAUAUUUAAUUUUUUGAUAUAAAUAAUAAUAACAAAUUAGAUAAUAGUAACAAGAAAAUAGGAAUUAGUUUGAAUAAAUGGUACCAGUUCCUAUUAUGAUAUAUCUAGAGAAGAAGUUUGAAGAAUAAAAUGAAGUGAAAUAUUCUUAAUAAAAAAAGAAAAACACAAAAAGAAAUAAAAAAAUAUUCUUAAUAAAUAUAAAAGAUGGGUGAAAUUAGAGAACAAGAAAGAGAUAUAGAAUCUCUUUGUAAGAUUUCUAAAAACUUAAUUACAAUUAUAUUAUAAUUUCUUCCCUAAAAUUAUUUAAAAUAUAGUAUUAGAAUUACAUAAUGCUAGGUUUUAAUAUAUAAUUAAAGAGUUUCUCCUUAACCAAAUAUAAAAAUAUUUUAUAAUUCUUUUGAAUGAAUUAUUAACGGAGGGACUGUUUUGGGUCCCUAUUUAGCUGAUUUUAUUUGAAUAUAUUAUUUGACUAGUCCAUUUAUAGGUUUACUCUACUAUUCUUGCCUUACUGGAACCGGAAAAUUCACUCGAAAUUUCUAGUAGUUUACACAGAAAUUUCCUGUGCUAAACUUCAAAGAAUUUCUUUUCUUUUCAUUUUGUAUUUUCUCAUUUUCUUGGCAUGCGCGCAGCUGCAUCAAGGAAAAAACGUUUCAGAUGCGUGUAAUAAAUCCAAUCGAUGAAUGAGAAAGGGACGCAAAAUAAAGAUAAAAGUGGAAUAUUCUCAUUAAUUGGUCAUCAUUUAAACGUUGGACACAGCCAUCUAUAUGUUGUUUAAAGAAUUUAAAUGGUUAGUCAGAAAGGAUUGCUUUUUAAUUAAAAAUAUAUUAAAAUAAUAUUUUUAAUGCCAAGUAUUUGUUCAACCUCAUUAAUGCUAACGAGUGGACCCAGUUGUUGUGGAAACUUUGCUAGGGAUCUGGAGUGUCAUAAUCCAAAAUUAUUCCUUAAAAUUUAUAUUUUUUCAAAAUAAAAAUCAAAAAAAUAAAAUAAAGGCUGGCAACGUGGAGAAAGCAGGCCGGAAAAUCAAGCUGUAAUUUUUGGAGGAAAUUCAAGGCGUAAUUGUACCCCACUAUGCCCCAAAAUAGAGAGAAAAUAUAAAUUCAAGGUCAAAUUAAAUGAUUAUUUGACAAAUUUGCAUAAACAUUAAGUCCGAUGACAUAAUUAAAUUUUUAAUAGGCCAAUUUGAUUUAAUCACGGGCCAAAUUAAAUUUUAAUUAUGUUUAAGAAUUAAUUUGCGUCCAAUUGAAGGAUUUAAUUAAGUGCAAGGACUUAAUUAUACUUUAAAUGGGUCAAAUUAAUUUUAUUUUGGGCUUAAUUGGUGAAAACUUAAGUUUGGGAGCUUAAUUGAGAAGAUUGGAAUUUUAAGAGACCAAAUUUAAUUCUUACCAAGUUAAUUGAUUGAAAUUAGGGGCCCAAUUGCAAGAACAUUGAAGUUUUGGGGUCAAUUGGGGGUUAAAUUGAAGAAAUUGACAGCUAAGGACCACUCUGCAAAAGGCGAAAACAUUUGGGGACUUAAUUGACAACCACCGGGGCAAAAUUGAAGAAAUUGAAAGUAUAAUGGUCAAUUAGAGGUUAAUUUGACAAAAUUCGAGACCAAGGACCAUAUUGCAAUAGGCGCGUAACUUUGGGGUUUCAAUUGAAGUUUAUCAGGGGCUUAAUUGCAUUAAAUCCAAAGUUAAGGGUUAAUUAGGGGUUCAAUUGAAACCAAUUGAAAGAUGGAGGACUAAGAUGAAAAUAUGUUAAAAUCCCUAAUUCAACUCAAAAUGGCGCCGUUUUAUAUUAAAAAAGAGAGAGAGAGAGGGGACCAGACGACGCGUUGUCGGGUCACUGUUCAUUGUCUUCUUCUUUUACCCGAAAGAAACUGCUUGGGAGCCUUAUUUGCAGGUGCAUUUAAUGCUUGAUUUCUCCAUAAAAUUGAACAAAACUUGCACGAAAAGGAUCCCCUGCAAUUCCUCUACAAACCCAUGUGAACUUUUCAGGAUUAAUGACAGCACAGCUACGCCGGAGAUGGCGUGAAGAGGUCAACUCAGGCAGCCUUUUCCUGCAGAUUUGACAACUCAGGGAGGCUACUUUGAGCCAACAGUUGGGAUCCUUCCCAACAGAAUCAAGAGCUAAAAUUUUACCCCAGUGCAAAAGAGAUUACCCUCUUCGACCGCCUAUAAAUAGAGGCUGAUUUGAUGGCCUGAGGGAGGAAAAAAAAUCGGGUCCAAAAUUUGAAAAAAACAAGCUCCCACUGCCCCCGUUUCUGCAAUUUCUCUCUCUCUCUCCGUCGCUUCAACCACCACCAACCUCAUCACCAGCUUCUCCACCACCAGCUCCAUCACAGUAAGCCACCAACCGACCACCGAGAGCCACCGUGAACCUUUCUCUCUCCUCUGCAAACCGGUUUCUUCUUUCUCCCACAGCGACUCCACCGGCCAAAACUCUCCACCAACGCCGCCAUCAGCCUCUUUUCUUCCACGACCAGACCACCGCCAACUUCACGCCAGGCCAGAGACAGCAGCUUCUUCUCCUCCGCAAGGUCGCCUCCCACUUCACUCCGCCGUCUGCGCAAAGUUGCAUGCAGAACAUGAACUUACUGUUCACGUUCUACAAUUAAUUCAUCCCUCACUUGGGCCGGGCCAUAAAUGUUUGGCUGGGUCUGGCCCGGCCUCAAAAGAAAAGGAGAAAGAAAAUAUGUUGGGCCGAUAUCGGCCCAACCUUUUUGGACCGAGAUCGGCCCAACUGUUUCUGGGUUUCUGCUUGGUCCAGUUACUUGGGCCAUCCCGGCCCACCUGUUUUAAUAAUAUUUAAUUAAUAUAUUAUAUUAUAUUAUAUAUUUCCUUUUAAAAAAAACAAAAAAAUCCAAAAAAAAUUUCAAAAAUCAUUUUUAAAAAAUUACGAUUUUCUCAAAUAUUUUUCUACCACUUUUGUAUAAUAUCGGGUUGUAUAUUUACACUGUAAAAUACAAACCUGGUAUUAAAAUACCCGGUUUUCUCCUAAAUAUUUCAAAAACAAAAUUCAAAACAUUUUCAAAGAGAAAAAAAAUAUUUUGUUGCAUACGGCCAAAUCUUAAAAUUUUUCCAAGCAUAUUUUUCAAUAAAAAAACAAAAAUUGCAUCUUUCUCCAGUUUUGAAAAUAAAAAAAAUGGAUAUCAUAACCAGUUUGUGAAUAUCCAUUAGAAUUUGGCCAACAUGUCAAAACCUUUUUCCAAUCUUUUUAGGGUUCAGAUGCAGACUUUAGUAUUUGUGGAGUGUAAAAUUACACGAUAAAGUACACCCUCAGGUAUUAAAGAUACAAGGUGUAAAUAAAUGCGAUGCUAAAAUUCAGACUUUAGAAUGGUUAGGAUUUAACCUGAUAAAGUAAAGACUUUCUCAUGAAGAGAGAUCUGCCUUAAACCUUAAAAAAGACCAACGAAUAGAAACCCGAUUUAGAAAAAAACAAUCAAACAACAAUGUAGCUUACCUUAGGUAGGGUGCACUGGGGGUGAUGCGUCUUCCCCUUGCACAACCAGUCUCUUACCCAGACUCUCGCAGACCAUAGGUUUCUAGUGAUCAUAAUACUAGGUGGCGACUCCUAAACAUUAAUCAUAAUUUUAUAAUUAAAUCCAAAAAACCUUCCCAACACACAACACCUCACACAGGAGGCACGACAAGAAGCCUUUGCCGUCGCCAGACGACGUCGCGCCCCUUGCGACAUGGAGGAAGAAAAAUGAUUGCAUUGCUAAUAAUUUGCAAGAGAGAAUUCUUUUUCUGAAUAGAAAAAACUAUUAUUUUUAAAAUAAAAACAACUAAAUAGAAAAAUUAUUAUUUUUUAAAUAGAAAAACUAGAAAAGCCUUGUAAUAUUGAAUAAAAAAUAAAAUAGAAAAAUUAUUCUUUUAAAGUAGAAAAAAUUAUGACAAUUUAAUAAUACUGAAUAGAAAUAAAUCAAAUUUUUAAACUAAAUAAAAAUAAUAGAGAAAAAUAUUUAUUAUCCUAAACUUUUUUAUAUUAAAAUCUUAAUUUAUAACAUGAACUGAGUCUACAUGCUAAAAUUAGAAGAACAAAAAAAAAAUGUAACAAAAAAAUUCCAUACAACACAAUUAAUGAUGGGAUCAUAUAUUUUGAGACUAAAAUGAGGUUUUCGAAUUACCUUUAAACAUAACAUAACAUGAUUUUAAUAGAUGUACUGUACAUCAUUUGAAUUUAUUAGAAAAAACAUAUAAUGUAAAGUAUGAACCACUUACCAUUAACUAGAUUUUUCAAUUGGAUUUUUUAUUUAAAUGAAAAGGAAAAUUUAUUUUAUUAUGAAAAAUAUUUUUUAUAUAUAUCUAGUAAUAAUAAAUUAAAGGAUAAUAACAAGAAAAUAACAAUUAGAUCGAAUAAAUGGUACCAAUUUCUAUUCUGAUAUAUCUAGCCAAAGAAUAGAAUGAAUCAAAAUAUUCUUAAUAAAAAAAAUAGAAAACACAGAAAGAAAUAAAAAAAUGUUCUUAAUUAAUAUAAAACUAUUAAUUUACAAAAGAAAUUUUCUGGUACUUUAUACUGUAUAUAAUUUGAAAAAUUGUGACUGACCGACUUACUUGCAAAGUAUUUGCAAGAAAGUUAAAGAAUUAGAGUUUUUUAAUAUUCAAAAUUAUAAUUUUAAAUUCUACGAAAAAAAUCAAUUAUUUUUAAAACUGUUUUCAAAAAUAAAACAUCAACUAUUUAUAUAAUAGCUAAAUAAAACAAUUAAAAUAAAUAAAAAAAUAACUAGUAAAAUCAAGUGAAUAAUCCAAAAAUAACAAGAAAAUAGAGAUAUUUCCUAAAUAUGAUUUCAGUUUGUUGUAUUGAUCAAUUUGCUAACAUAAAUAGCAUAAACGAACUUUAUUCUAAUAGUAUGUUUGAUAUUUAAAAAAAAAAAAAACUUAUAGAUAUUAUAUGGGUUGGCAACCCAUUUUUUAUUAAAUUUUAAAUUUUAUUUGUUUAAAAAUAUUUGUUUAUGUUUUUUAAUUAUUUUAAUAUGAUAAUAUCAAAAAUAAAUAAAUAAAAUUUUUCUAAGUUUUACUACUUCUGACUUGCUUUGACUCGAAAUUAGUGGUGCUUUCUCCUGCGAAUGAAUAGAAAGCAUAUCAUAAAGGUGUGUUUGACAUUGUGUUUUGGAAGUAUUUUUUAAAAAAAUAAAUUUUUUUAUUUUUUUUCUUCAAAUUAUUUUUUUUGUUGAUGUUUUCAUAUUAUUUUGAUAUGCUGAUGUCACAAAUAAUUUUUAAAAAAUAAAAAAAUAUAUUAUUUUGAUGUGUUUUGAAAUGAAAAAACUUUAAAAAGCAACCGCUACCACACUCUCAAACUCCUUUGUUUAUUGAGUCUUACUGUGAAACCUCGUUUUGGGAUGAAUUGAUUGUAAGAAUAAGAAAUUAUGUGCAAAUUAUACAAAAUUUAUUAUUCAUCAUCAAGAUUUAUUAUUUAUUAUCACUAUUGAAUAAUGAUUUAUUUUAUAAUAUAAAUUAUGUUUAAAAUAAAAUUGAUAAAAUUAAAAUACAUGAAACGAGGUCGUAUAUUUUGAAACUAAAUUAAAAUUAUUUUCUUUUUCAAUGAUAUCAUUUGUUAGUUUGCAAGUCCACAUGUCACGAGUCUCCACUGCAUGAAAUUUGCAAAAUCAUAUGGCCCAUUGAUAGAAGGUGUGUUGAAGCAAAAUCUGUUUUAUUGAUUAUCAAUAUUGAAUAAUAGCUUAUUUUCUAGUAGAAACUAUGUUUGAAAUAAAAUUGAUAAAAGACAUGAUAUACAAUUAAUAAUAGGAUCGUAUAUAAAAAUAGGAAAUUUCCUGGUAAUAAAGUCCCAACUUUCGUAGGCGAGCACUAAAGUCCCAAACUUCAAGAAUUUCUCUUCUUUUCCUUUUGUAUCUUCUCAUUUUCUUGGCAUGCGCGCAGCUGCCUCGAGGAAAAAACGUUUCAGAUUCGGAAAAUAAAGAUAAAUGUGGAAAAAAAAAAUCCCAAAUAAAGAUAUCUUUUCGUCCCUUGGUGUCGUGUGAAUACCAUGUGGAUAUCAUUUCAGAAAAUCAAUUCAACCGUUCUCCAAAGAACACUCAUACUCCAAUAUCAGCAACUACCACGAAAGUUACCACUCUAAAUUCCAGCUCAAUAAUUAAGGUUCCAAGAUAAGCCUAAAAAAUAUUUAUUAGGCUUAUCUUAAAGCCUAAUAAAUAUCUAAAAAAAAACAAAAAAACAAAAUUCCACCCUAGGCUGUGAUUAACAGAUUAUCUGAUGGAAACAUGAUGAGCUUUUUUUUAGUGAAUUAAGUUCAAUUAAAAAAAAAUUAAGGUUAAAUUGAUGAUUAAUAAUGAAUUUUGUAUACUUUGCACAGGAUUUUCUUAUUCUCGUCAAUUAAUCUUAAAGCGAGGUUCCAAGAUAAGCCUAAAAAAUAUUUAUUAUUGAUCAACAAUAUUGAAUAAUGGCUUAUUUUCUAGUAUAAAUUAUGUUUGAAAUAAAAUUGAUCAUAAGAGUAGAUGAUAUACAAUUAAUGAUGAAAUCGUAUAUUUUGAGACUAAAUUAAGAUUUUUCAAUUAUCUUUAAAUAUUAUGGUUUUAAUAGGUGGACAAUGCAUUCUUUGAAUUUAUUACAAGUAAUGUGUAAUUUAAAUUAUAAAAAAAUAUUUAUUUUUCUGAUAUACAUGAUAAUAAUAAAUUUGAUGAUAGCAACAAGAAAAUAGAAAUUAGUUUGAAUUAGUACGUUUCUCAUUAACAUUAAUGAUGGAAUCAAAAUCUUUGUUAGCGGUCACCUGUUCGACCUCAGUAAUGUUAACGCGUGGACCCAGCUGUUGUAGAAACUUUGCAAAGGAUCUCGAGGAAGAAAAAUGAUUGCAGUGUAAGACUUAAUUACCGAUUCUAUGAUGGGGAAUAAAUAUGUUUAUAACAGAAUUGUAAGUUAUAAUAUGUAAAAUUUAAUUAACGAUUCUAUUAUACGAAAUAAAUAUGUUUAUAACGUAAUCGUAAGCCUUAAUAAUAAGAAAUCAAUAUCUCCAUCUAUUAAUGUUCCUCAUGUAUUUAUUAUUCUUUUUUAUAUAUAUUUGAUACUUUCAAACUCUACUCACUUUAUAUAGAUUGUGUAAAACUUAAGAGAACUCAGUAAGUGAGUAUAGAGAUCAAAUAACAUUAUUUAUAGCCAAAGCUUCCCUCAAGCUUUAAUGGCUAUAUGUCCCACAUAUUUAUUAUAUCAUGGGUAGUUACAAGUGAAUCACUUUAAGAGCUUAUAAAUGUAAAUGUUACAACUUUAAAAUGAACGAUUUUAAGAGUUUAUAAAUAUAAAUAUUAUAAUUUUUAGAGUGGAUCACUUUUAGUGUGAAGGAGAGUUAGAGAAUCGAUUAUAAUGACUCUGUAAAAAACAGUCAACAUGCAUUGCUAAUAAUUUGCAACGGAGAAUUCUUUAUUGAGAUUUAUUGUUAAACCUCGCUUUGGAAUGAAUUGAUCACGAGAAUAAAAAAUAAUCACUACAUACACCCUUUAACUAUUUUACUUGAAAGUUUCGAUUAUUUCCUAAGCUCCUUUGUUCAUUUUCUUUUUUAUUACCCCUUCAUGCACGACACUUUAUGCCACUUCAUGAUACCCUUGUUUUCAACGUUUUACACUACUUUAAAAGCGUGUUUGGUAGUGUGGUUGCGGGUGCUUUUCAAAUAACUUUUCGUGUCAAAAUACAUGCCAAUGAUAUUUUUUUUAUUUUUUAAAAAUUAUUUUUGACAUCAGCACAUCAAAACGAUCCAAAACAUAUAAACCUUAUUAAAUUUUAAUUUAAAAAAUAUUCAAUUUUUUUGGGAACGCAGCCGCAUCCGCGUUCACAAACGAGUCCUCAAGUCAAUUGUUAGAUACUAAAAACAGCAAGAACUGUACUCAAUCAGCAACCACUGUGAAAUUACCACUCAAAAUCCCAUGAAUAUAUAUAAAAAAGAAUUUUGUCUAGAAAAAUUCUAUCAAAUUCUCUACUUUAUUACUCUUCAAUGUUUUACACUGCUUUAGUUCUAAAAAAACUCCUAGAUGUUAUAAAGCAAGAUAUAUACAACUAUAUAUAUAUAUAUAUAUAUAUAUAUAUAUAUGAAAGUGUAAUAAAUAUUAUAUUUUAAAGUAUUUUUUAAAUAUAUUAAAAUAAUAUUUUUUUAAAAAUAAUUUUGAUAUUAGUAUAUUAGAAUAAUAAAAAAAUAAUUUAAAACAAUAAAAAAUAUUGAAAUUUUUAAAAAAUAUGAUUUGACUGAACUCCAAAACACACGCAUGCUCCCUCAGCAGCCACCACGAAAUUACCACUCUAAAUUCCAGCUCAAUAAUUUAUUCUUUAGCAAUUAUUGCUUGCUCUUUGACAAGUACUGCUUUGCUAAUAAUUUGCAAGAAACUUUCUCAAUUUCCUUCUAUUUUCUUUUUAUCAUGGAAACUUUAAGUCACAUACCACUAAAUUACCGAUAAUUAAAUUUCAAUGUGUAAUUGUGUAGGUUUCAAUUAAAAAUGUUUUAAUUUGAGAAAAUUUGUUAAAAAAAUAGUAUAAAUUAUAUUUUAGAGUUUAUUUUAAUAGUUUAAAUUUUUAGAUGAAUAGUUUUCUAACAAAUAAAGACAUAGUUUUACGAUAAAAUGCAUUUUUUAAAAUGAAAUUAUAUUAAAUUAAGCAUGGUCGAGAUUAUUCAAAUUAUUAAUUAAUUAUAAUUAACUUUAUGUCUUUAGAGGAAACAAAAGGAAAGGACAAAAUGAUUAAUUAAAUUUUUAGAUGAAUUAAUAAAUCUUUACAAAUAAAAGAUAUAGUUUUUCAUUUUUUGAAAUGAAAUUAUAUUAAAUUAAGCAUGCUCGACAUUGUUCAAAUUAUUAAUUAAUUAUAAUUAACUUUAUGUCUUCAGAGUAAACAAAAGGGAAGGACAAAAUUAUCUUCCCCACAACGAUAAACCUAGCCCCCUUUCCAAACCAAUCCUCUAGUAAAUAGAAUGAUGGUCCCAUAAAUUGCUUUAUUCUUUCCAGCCCGCCAAGUAGUUUGGUCUCCCUCACAGGACCUCCUUAGCAUGGGAAUCAUAUGAAUUUCCUUGCUUUUCUUCCUCUACGCGUUACCUUUCACCUUUUAUAAUUAUUAUUAUUGCAUUGCUAAUAAUUUGCAAGAAAGAUUAUGAACAUUUUUUUUAGUGAAAUAAGCUCAUUUCAAAUUAACAAAAUAUAGUUUGUUGAGGCUUGUCUUGAAACCUCACUUUGGAUUAAUUGACAGGAAUAAUAAAAUUUUAUUCAAAUUAUAUAAAAUAUUAGGUGUGGAUGUGCCCUUGCCCAACAAGCUACCAUGACCUUAUCUAGAGUUGGGUGUUAACGAGACAAGCCCUUGUCCAACUCAGAGUUCGGCAUAGAUAUAUCAUGACCCAACAUAAAGUUUGGAUGCGGAAAAAAUAUAAUUUCAUUUUGAAUUAUGAUUUUUGUUGGAUAGUCUUUAAAUAAAUUUUUUUUUUAGAAAAUCAUGACCCAUAUCUGGUUAUCGGAAAAACAAUUAUGGUUGAUUUAGCCUCAUCUUCUCUGCUUGUAAAAUUGGGGCAGAUUAUGGACUUAACCGAGCAAUUACCGCUCAAAAUUCCUAGCAAUUUACAAAGGAAUUUUCCUUGCUUUUUCUCAGUAUAUUAUUAGAAAAACCGUCAUUGACUGAUUUAAUUGUAAAGUCUUUGCAAGAAAGUAAAAAAAUUAGUUUUUUAAAAUAAAAAAUAUAGAGAGAGAAAUAAAAAAUAAAAAAUAAAAAAAGGAGCGAAAGGAAACAACCGCCAUCUUUCUUGUUCCUUUUCCCUUCUUUACACGGCGUCCUCGAUGAAAAUAGCAAACACCCCAUUUGAAUAUAUAAUUAAAGAAAGAAAGAAAGAGAGGAAAAUUCCUUCCUCAAUACUUACCGCUACACGCUUCAGAAAUUCCUUGCUUUUUUUUUUUUUUUUUUCAUCUCUACUUACGUGUUACCUUUUACCUUUUAUAAUUAUGAUUAUUGCAUUGCUAAUAAUUUCCUUGCAUUUCUUUAAUAUAUAAUUAAAGAAAGAAAGAUGUUGAACACUUUUUUAGUGAAUUCAAAAUAACAAAAUAAGGUUGUUGAGGCUUUUCUUGGAACCUAGCUCAGGGAUUAAAUUAUAAAAAAAUAUAUUUAUUUUUCUGAUUAUAUAGCAAUAACAAAUUAAAUAAUAGCAACAAGUAAAUAGGAAUUAGUUUGAAUAAAUGGUACCAGUUCCUAUUAUAAUAUAUCUAGAGAAGAAGUUCGAAGAAUAGAAUGAAGUCAAAUAUCCUUACAUAAUGCUAGGUUUUAAUAUAUAAUUAAAAAGUUUUCCAUGAACCAAAUAAUAAAAAUAUUGUACAACUUUUUUGAAUGAAUUAUUAACAUAGAGGCUUAUUUGAUUUGAAUAUAUUAUUUGAUUAGUCCAUUUAUAGGUUGUCUCUAUUAUUCCUGCCUUGCAUUGCCAGGAAAUUUCACUAGAAAUUUCUAGUAAUUUAAACAGGAAAUUUGCUGGUGAUAAACCUGGAAUAUGAUUUUCAACUUUCGUAGGCGAGCACUGAAGUCCCAAACUUCAAGAAUUUCUUUUCUUUUCCUUUUGUAUCUUCUCAUUUUCUUUCUAGGAAUGUUAUGAGAAGCAGCAGAGUCAAGAGGCCAUUUUUGAUCCUGUGGACCGGAAGUAGUUGCAUAGUUAGUCGUAACCUCUGAUCAAUGGAGUCGUGGGUAAGACUUGGCUAAAUGGCCUAUCUGAUCAGGAAAUUGGCAUUUCGGUUGAUAAUGCAUUUGAGUGGUACCGAUUGGUUGAAGACUUGCAGUUGUCUUUGAAUGGACCGACCUUGAGGGAUUUUAUUGUGGCCUGGAGACCGAGAAGAUCCAUUAGUCUUAUUUGAACCCUUCGGGUGAGACCCACCAUAUGAACUAUUUAAGUUCUGUUUGUGAAGAUAAGAAUAAUUGGCAGAGGCCACAAGCUGCUGAGUUGAAGAUUCCAAACGCCGCAGGUAACUGUCAUGCCCCUCAAGAAUAUCUUGAAGCUCUUCAAAUUAUCCCAAUAGUUCUUAUAUUAAAAUCUCAUUUAUCAUAUGUUACAUCUAUCAAAAAAAAAAAAAUAAUUUGUGACGUGAACUAAAGCUAUAUGUGAAAACUAGAAAUAACAAAUGUAUGAAAAAAAAAUCAGCUGUGAUUAACAGAUUAACGAUGGAAAUUAAGAUGAUGAAUAUUUUUUUGUAAAUUAAUUUCAAUUUAAAAUAACUACAAAGAAGUUAAUUAGGAUUCCUUCCUUGAAAUUAUUAAAAAUAUAGUAUUAGAAUUAUAGAAUGCUAGGUUUUAAUAUAUAAUUUUUAAUAUUAAUUGUUAAAGAGUCUCUCUCGAACCAAAUAAUAAAGAUAUUAUAUAACUCUUUUGUAUGAAUUGUAAAUCUAGGGAUAGUUUUGGGUUUUCCAAUCACAACUUUGGACUAAAAUUAAUAACAAAAUAAAGACCAAAGAUAACGGUAUGUAAAUCUAGGGACCAAAAAUAAUACAACUGCAUUUACUGUAGAUUUCACUUAGAAUUUCUAGUAAAUUACAAAGGAAAUUUCUUGUGCUUUUUAACGUACAUGAAUUGAAAAACUACCAUUGACUGACUUGCAUUGACUGACUUGCUAAGCAUUUGCUGCUCGAAAUUUUCUCCCUAAAAAUUUUCAAGCAAUUUACGGAGCAAAUUUCCUUAUGCUCUCUCUUGUAUAUUAUUAGAAAAAUUGUUUUUAAAAAUCAAUUUUUUUUUAUUUUCCUGAGAUUCUAUUUUUUAGUCGAGUCAAUUUCAAGUUGGGUUCAAUAAUUAUGAUUAAAUUUACUGAAAAAAAAAUAAUUUUAUGUCACUUCAUGAUACCCAUGUUUUCAACGCUUUACACUGCUUUAAUAAAUUGUUACAGUAAUAGCACAGAGAGGAGCGGUUCCAGAAAAAACAAUAAUGGAGAUGAAGCAAAAUCUGUGUUUGAUUUUUUCUUUUUUGUGUUUUCGGUACAUUGGUCAACAAUAGCUUGGAAGAGUUUGGAAUCAGUAACACGUGGACCCAGUUGUUGUGGAAACUUUGCAGAGGAUCUUCACUCUGCAGGAAGAAAAAUGAUUUUAAUAGAUGUACUGUACAUCAUUUGAAUUUAUUAAAAGUAACGUGUAAUGUAAAGUAUGAUUCACUUACCAUUAACUAGUUGGACAAAAAAACUAAACUUUCUCAAUUUCCUUCUAUUUUCUUUUUAUCAUGGAAACUUUAAGUCACAUCUGCGCCUACCACGAAAUUACCGAUAAGUAAAUUUCAAUGCGUAAUUGUGUAGGUUUCAAUUAAAAAUGCUUUAAUUUGAAAAAUUAUGUUAACAAUAAUAUAAAUUAAUUUUUCUUCAAAAUAAAAAGUAAUUGGGUAUUAAUUUAGGCUAUAAAGAUAAAAUAAUAAUAAUAAAAAAGAGUUCGAGGGUAUUCAUUUUAUUAUUUGUUAUGUAACUAUAUAAUCUAAUUUGUUGAUGUGGAAAAUAGCACAAAGUUUUUGACAUGGAUAUUGGUGAGAAGCAAAAGCAGUAUCCACUAUGAGAGCUUUUGUAAACGCGUGGACCCAGUUGUUGUGGAAACUUUGCAAAGGAUCUGCAGGAAGAAAAAUGAAAUUUGCAAAGUAUUUGUGUGUAUUAUAUAAUUGUGUUAAUUUAAGGAUUAUUUUUUAGUUGUAUUAAUUUAGAAAAUAUUUUGUCUCACCGGAAAACUCUAAUUACGUUCGUAUAUUUGUUUUUGGUAACAGAUGCAAUAUGCUUUUUAAUUCAAGAUAUAUUAAAAUAAUAAUUUUUAAAAAAAAAUUAUUUUUUUUAUUUUAGUAUAUUAAAAAUAAAAAAUUUAAAAAUAGUAAUUUAAUAUUUUCUUAAAAAUAUAUUUAAAAAACACUUUUAAUUUUGUUUUUCAACUGUACUAUUCCUUGAAAAAACUCAAACUCUAAAUAAUAUCUUCUACUACAUACUUUCUAAGACUAAAAAUUAAUCUAAAUGUUUUUGAAAAGUAGUUCAACCAAAGUACCAAAUAUGUUUAUAUACUCCAUCUUCAACCACUGUAAAAUUACCACUCUAAAUUACAACUCGGUAUCGAUUACCUUUUAUCUUUGACAAUUAUUGCAUUGCUAAUAAUUUGCAAGAAAAAAUACAUUCUCAAUUUCCUUCUAUUUUUUUUUUAACAUGAAAAACUUUAAGUCACUCAAUCUGCAACCACCAUGAAAUUACCGGUCCGAAUUCCAGCUCAAUAUUUACCGGUACGACACGCUUGAGGAAUUUCCUUGCUUUUCUUCCUCUACGCGUUACCUUUCACCUUUUAUAAUUAUUAUUAUUGCAUUGCUAAUAAUUUGCAAGAAAGAUUAUGAACAUUUUUUUAGUGAAAUAAGCUCAUUUCAAAUUAACAAAAUAUAGUUUGUUGAGGCUCGUCUUGGAACCUCGCUUUGGAUUAAUUGACAGGAAUAGUAAAAUUUUAUUCAAAUUAUAUAAAAUAUUGGGUGCUGAUGUGCCUUUAUCCAACUUAGAAUUGCGACAAGCUACCAUGACCUUAUCUAGAGUUGGGUGUUAAUGAGACGAGUCCUUGCCCAACUCAGAGUUUGGCAUGGAUAUAUCAUGACCCAACAUAAAGUUUGGAUGCAGAAAAAAUAUGACUUUAUUUUGAAUUAUGAUUUUUGUUGGAUGGUCUCUAAAUAAAUUUUUUUUAUAGAAAAUCAUGACCCAUAUCUGGGUAUCGGAAAAACAAUUAUGGUUGAUUUAGCCUCAUCUUCUCUGCUUGUAAAAUUGGGGCAGAUUAUGGACUUAACCGAGCAAUUACCGCUCGAAAUUCCUAGCAAUUUACAAAGGAAUUUUCCUUGUUUUUUCUCAGUUCAUUAUUAGAAAAACUGUCAUUGACUGAUUUAAUUGUAAAGUCUUUGCAAGAAAGCUAAAAAAAUUAGAGUUUUUUAAAAUAAGAAAUAUAGAGAGAAAAAUAAAAAAUAAAAAUAAAAAAAGGAGCAAAAGGAAACAACCCCCAUCUUUCUUGUUCCUUUUCCCUUCUUUACAUGGCGUCCUCGAUGAAAAUAGCAAACACCCCAUUUGAAUAUAUAAUUAAAGAAAGAAAGAAAGAGAGGAAAAUUCCUUCCUCAAUACUUACCAGUACUACACGCUUGAGAAAUUCCUUUCUUGUUACCUUUUACCUUUUAUAAUUAUGAUUAUUGCAUUGCUAAUAAUUUCCUUGCAUUUCUUUAAUAUAUAAUUAAAGAAAGAAAGAUGUUGAACACUUUUUUAGUGAAUUCAAAAUAACAAAAUAAGGUUGUUGAGGCUUUUCUUGGAACCUCGCUCAGGGAUUAAUUAACAAGAAUAAAAAAAUCCCCUGCAAAUUAAACAAAAUUUAUUAUUAAUCAUUGAUAUUUAUUAUUGAUCAUCAAUAUUGAAUAAUGGCUUAUUUUCUAGCAUAAAUAAAAUUGUUAAAAAACAUGAUUACACAAUUAAUGAUGAGAUCGGUUAUAAAAAUGACUAAAUUGAGGUUUUUCAAUUACCUUUAAACGUAUCAUGGUUUUAAUAGGUGGACAGUACAUCCUAUUAUGUAAAUUAUAAAAAAUUAUAUUUAUUUUUCUGAUAUAUAUAGCAAUAACAAAUUAAAUAAUAGCAACAAGUAAAUAGGAAUUAGUUUGAAUAAAUGAUACCAGUUCCUAUUAUUAUAUAUCUGGAGAAGAAGUUCGAACAAUAGAAUGAAGUCAAAUAUCUUUACAUAAUGCAAGGUUUUAAUAUAUAAUUAAAAAGUUUUCCAUGAACCAAAUAAUAAAAAUAUUGUAUAACUUUUUUGAAUGAAUUAUUAACGUAGAGGCUUAUUUGAUUUGAAUAUAUUAUUUGAUUAGUCUAUUUAUAGGUUGACUCUACUAUUCCUGCCUUGCAUUGCCAGGAAAUUUCACUAGAAAUUUCUAGUAAACGAAAUUUGCUGGUGAUAAACCUGGAAUAUGAUUUUCAACUUUCGUAGGCGAGCACUAAAGUCCCAAACUUCAAGAAUUUCUUUUCUUUUCCUUUUGUAUCUUCUCAUUUUCUUGGCAUGCGCGCAGCUGCCUCGAGGAAAAAACGUUUCAGAUGCGGAAAAUAAAGAUGAAAGUGGAAAAUAGAAGCGGGGAAAAAAAUCCCAAAUAUCGACAAACAUCACAAGAGAAGCUUGAUAUCUCUUCGUCCCUUGGUAUCGUGUGAAUGUGGAUAUUAUUUCAGAAUAUCAAUUCAACCGUACUCCAAAGAACACUCAUACUCCAAUAUCAGCAACCACCACGAAAGUUACCACUCUAAAUUCCAGCUCAAUAAUUUAUUCUUUGACAAUUUUACUUCUAAAAAAAAUGAAUUUUUUUUUAUAAUUAUACGCCAUCAGCAACUACCAUUACGACUCCAAAUUCCAGCUCAAUAUCGAUCAACACGUGGCUAAAGAAUUUGUUUCCUUUUUUUUCCUGCACGUGUUACCUUUUUAUCUUUUAUAAUUAUAAGUAUUGCGUUGCUAAUAAUUUGCAAGAAAUAAUAUUCUUUCUCUAAAAAGGGCUUGAGAAAACCCUAAGCAUAGUAUAUAGUCUCUUAUAGGAAUCUCUUUAUUAAAUCAUCAAAAUAUCAAAGUCUGUUUCCAAAGACUAUGACUACAGUUUAUAUAUAGAAACAACCAAAUAUAAAAAUUAUUUUUUAAAAAUAGAAAAAACAGAAGAGCUUGAUAAUAUUUAAUUAAAAAAUAAAAUAGAAAAAUUAUUCCUUUUUAAGUAGGAAAAAAAAAUAUAAAGAUUUAAUAAUACUGAAUAAGAAAAAUUAAAAUAUUCUUUCUCUGAAAAGGGCUUAAGAAAACCCUAAGCAUUGUAGAUAAUCUCUUAUAUGAAUCUCAUCAAAAUAUCAUAGUAUAUUUCCAAAUACUAUUACGUACUACAUUUAUAUAUAUAUAUAUAUAUAUAUAUAUAGAGAGAGAGAGAAAGAGAGAGAGAGAUAGAGAGAGAAACAACUAAGUAGGUAAAGCUUAUGUUUCUUUGUUCUUGUUCCUUUAUAUAUAUACAUUCUCAAUUUCAUAAAAAAAAUUAAUUAGUCCUUGAAAUCUUAAAAAAUAGUAUUUAAUCCUUAUGUUAUUAUAUUCAUCUCUAAUUUAAUUUUUUUCAUCCAUUCAUCUUUUUAUUUAUUUAAUAGCUUAAGUUUUUAGUUAAAAGAUAAAUAGUUUUACUAUUAAAAGCAUUUUUUCGAAAUAAAAAUAAUAUUAAAUUAGGCAUCCUCAACAUUGUUCAAAUUAUUAAUUAAUUAUAAUUAACUUGAGGUUUAGAAGAAACAAAAGGGAAGGACAAAAUUAUCUUCCCCACAACCAUAGACCUAACCCCUUUCCAGACCAGUCCCCUGGUAAAUGGAAUAAUGGUCCCAUAAACAGCUUUUUUUCUUUCCAGCCCGCCAAGCAGACUAAGGCCUGUUUGUUUCUGUGUUUUAAAAGUGUUUUUGAUAAAAUUUAAAAUUUUUUUGUUUUUUUUAUUAACUUCAAAUUAAUAUGUUUUUAGUGUUUUUAAAUCAUUUUGAUGUGCUGAUGUCAAAAAUAAUUUUUAAAAAAUAAAAAAACAUCAUUAGCAUGUAUUUUGACACGAAAAACUAUUUGAAAAGCAACCGCAACCACACUACCAAACACACUCUAAGCAGUUCGGUCUUCCUCGCUGGACCACCUUAGCAUGAGAAUCACACUAGUUGGAAGUAUCUUUAAACCUCAUAAAAAUGAAUAACUGAUAAUAAUAUAAUUGGGAUUUAAAAAAAAUUCAUAAAAAAAUUUCUUAAAAAAAUCCAAAAAAUUAAACCGGACAAAAAUAAACAACCAAUAAUAAUAUAGUUAAAAUGAUAAAAAAGUGUUUAAAAAGCAAUUUGAAACCAAUUAAUCUUAAAAAAAAAAAACCAAAAAGAAACAUGCGAUGAAAACCAAUUCAUGAAAAAGUAAUUGGAUAUUAAUUUAGACUAAAAGGAUGAAAUAAUAAAAACAAAAGGAGAGUUUGAGGGUAUUCAUUGUUCAAAGGAACGCAAAAAUGCAUUCCAAGUAUGAAGUGUUUUAUUGUUAUAAAGUUUUUCAAACUUACAAUAUGGAGAGAGAAAUAAAUAAAAAGAAAAAAUAGCAAAAGGAAACAGCCCCCAUCUUUCUUGUUCCCUUUCCCACGGCCUACUCAAUGAAAAAGCAAACACCCCAUUGGAUUUCCCACGGCCGCCCACGAAAUCCCUUUAUCCUCUGCUGUUAAUUUUUUAAUGACGCAUAUCAGGUGUUUGAUAAAAUUCCUUAGCUGGGAAAGGAAAAAAAACCAUGUUAAGAAUGCUUUAGUCCUUUUCGAGUGGAAAGUGGUGUGAAAGUGAGAAGUACUGUGAGAGCUUUAUACCACUUUCUAUCUUAGACGUAAUGGCUUUGGCAAAAAGAAACCAAUAAAAGUUAGUGUUCGCACUGCUUUAGUCCAAGAGUCUUUCAUGGUUGCAUUGAUUGACUGGAAAAAAUCUCAAAGUUUUUAGAAAGAAACAGCCUUCAUUGCUUUUCGAAACCAAUCUCAGUAAUGUUAACGCGUGGACCCAGUUAUUGUGGAAACUUUGCAAAGGACCUCGAGGAAGAAAAAUGAUUGCAUUGCUAAUAAUUUGCAAGAGAGAAUUCUUUCACUGAAUAGAAAAAAGUAUUAUUUUUAAAAUAACAACAAGUAAAUUUAAAAAUUAGUAUUUUUUAAAUAAAAAACUAAAAAUUCCUGAUAAUAUUGAAUAAAAAAUAAAAUAUAAAAAUUAUUCUUUUUAAGUAUAAAAAAAUAUAAAAGUUUAAUAAUACGGAAUAGAAAUAAAUAAAAAUUCUAAACUAAAUAAAAAUAUUUUCUAUCCCAAAAAUUCUUAUAUCAAAAUCUCAUUUAUCAUAUUUUAUAUCUAUAAAAAACUAAUUUGUCAUGUGGAAUAAGUCUAUAUGCUAAAAUCAGAAAAAAAAUGUUACAAAAACAAAUUCCACAAAAGGCUGUGAUUAAAAAGAUGAUAGAUAUUUUUUAGUAAAUUAAUUUCAAUUCAAAAUAACAAAAUAAGGUUUAUUGAGGCUUACCGUUAAACCUUGCUUUGGGAUGAAUUGAUCACGAGAAUAAGAAAUCAUGUGCAAAUUAUACAAGAUUUAUUAUUAAUCAUCAAGAUUUAUUAUUUAUUAUCAAUAUUGAAUAAUGAUUUAUUUUAUAAUAUAAAUUAUGUUUAAAAUAAAAUUGAUAAAAUUAAAAUACAUGAAACGAGGUUGUAUAUUUUGAAACUAAAUUAAAAUCAUUUUCUUUUUCUAUUAUAUCCUUCAAAAUUAUUUAUUUUAUAAAAAACAAAACUUGUUAGUUUGCAAGUACACAUGUCAUGAGUCUCCACUGCAUCACUUUUGCAAAAUCAUAUGGCCCACUGUAUAUUUUGAAACUUGUUGAAGCAAAAUCUGUUUUAUUGAUCAUCAUCAAUAUUGAAGAAUGAUUUAUUUUCUAGUAUAAACUAUGUUUGAAAUAAAAUUGAUAAAAGACAUGACAUAUACAAUUAAUGAUGGGAUGGUAUCUAAAAAUGAUUAAAUUGGCAUUUUUCAAUUACCUUUAAACAUGCAUAUCAUGAUUUUAAUUGGUGGACAAUACUGUUAAAUAAUAUAUUUAUUUUGUUUUAUUUAUUAAGAUUAAAAUAAUAUUUUUAGCUUAAUCUAUAUAUAAACUCUUUAUAUUUAGAUUAAGCAAAAAUAAUAAUAUAUAUCAGAAUUCUAGUCUCAUUCCUUUUCGUAUUUAUUUUUAUGUUAAUUAAAUUGUUUUAACAAUACAUCAUGUAAAUUAUAUAAAAAUAUAUUUAUUUUUCUGAUAUAUAAAUACCUCUCUGUCCCAUUGCUGCCAUUUCAUAGCUAACUCUUUGUUAUAUUUAACUUCCUCUUCUUUGCUUCUUGCUCAUAACGAUAACUUGAAAGCCUUACGUUCAGAUAGAUAAUCAUUGACUAGCUCAUCCUAUAUCAUUCUAUUCAAUUUAUAUAUGCAGAAAGAAAAACGCAAGCAAUCCAAAGAUGAAGAAAACGCUUCAUCCUCGCGAAAGAGAAGAAAAGCUGACCUCAGUAAGCCUAUAUAAAGAAUACAAUUAACCUCAUUUCAACAUCAUAGUUAACCUCAUUUCAAUAUCAUAGCUUUGGAAUUUCAUAGCUAACUCUUUGUUAUAUUGCUCCAUUGGUAAUUGAUUGUGCCUUGAUUUCUGCAGCUGCCAUGACAGAGCCAGAGUCUUCUCGAUCUAUACCAGAAGGGGCCUAUGAUGUCUUCUUGAGUUUUAGAGGAGAAGAUACUCGCAAGACGUUUACUGAUCAUCUAUAUGCUGCCUUAGAUCAAGCAGGAAUCCACACUUUUCGAGAUGAUGAUGAACUUCCUAGAGGAGAAGAAAUCUCCGAGCAUCUUCUCAAGGCAAUUCGAGAAUCAAAGAUAUCCAUAGUUGUCUUCUCAAAAGGAUAUGCUUCUUCUAGAUGGUGUCUCAAUGAACUUGUAGAGAUUCUUAAGUGCAAAAGGAAGAAAACCGGUCAGAUUGUUCUUCCUAUAUUCUAUGACAUUGAUCCUUCAGAUGUGAGAAAACAGACUGGCAGUUUUGCAGAGGCAUUUGAUAAGCAUGAAGAGCGUUUUGAAGAGAAGUUGGUGAAGGAGUGGAGAAAAGCUCUUGAGGAUGCCGGAAACCUAUCUGGAUGGAGUCUCAAUGAUAUGGCAAAUGGGUAUGCCUUUUUUCCAAAUUUAUGGAGUCAAUAUACUUUACAUUUUUUAAUGUGAAACAAUAAAAUACUUAAUUGACUCGCUAUCAAUGACUUGCUUUUGUCUAUGAGCAGGCAUGAAGCAAAAUUUAUCAAAGAGAUUAUCAAGGAUGUGUUGAAUAAAUUAGAUUCCAAGUACUUCUAUGUUCCUGAGCACCUAGUAGGUAUGGAUCGGCUUUCUCGCAAUAUUUUUGACUUUGUAAGUACUGCAACAGAUGAUGUACGCAUNNNNNNNNNNNNNNNNNNNNNNNNNNNNNNNNNNNNNNNNNNNNNNNNNNNNNNNNNNNNNNNNNNNNNNNNNNNNNNNNNNNNNNNNNNNNNNNNNNNNNNNNNNNNNNNNNNNNNNNNNNNNNNNNNNNNNNNNNNNNNNNNNNNNNNNNNNNNNNNNNNNNNNNNNNNNNNNNNNNNNNNNNNNNNNNNNNNNNNNGAUGAUAGAGGAAAAGUUCUGAUCAAAGAACGACUUCGUCGCAAAAGAGUUCUUGUUGUUGCUGAUGAUGUGGCUUAUCUGGACCAGCUAAAUGCUUUGAUGGGAGAGCGAAGUUGGUUUGGUCCCGGAAGUAGAGUAAUUAUUACAACAAGAGAUUCAAAUCUUCUUCGUGAAGCAGAUCAAACAUAUCGGAUCAAAGAGCGACUUUGUCGCAAAAGAAUCUUGUUGUUGCUGAUGAUGUGGCUCAUCAGGAGCAGCUAAAUGCAUUGAUGGGAGAUCGAAGAUGGUUUGGUCCCGGAAGUAGAGUAAUUAUUACAACAAGAGACUCAGAUCUUCUUCGUGACGCAGAUAAAACAUGUCAGAUCGAAGAAUUGAAACUAGAUGAGUCCCUUCAGCUUUUCAGCAGGCAUGCCUUUAAGGACACCAAGCCAGCAGAAGAUUACAUUGAGCUUUCGAAGAAAGCCGUUGGUUACUGUGGAGGACUUCCUUUAGCUCUCAAGGUUAUAGGAGCUCUUCUGUACGGGAAAGAAAAAGAUAGAUGGGAAAGUGAAAUUGACGACUUGAGCAGAAUUCCAAACCAAGAUAUUCAAAGAAAGCUUCUAAUAAGUUAUGACGCACUUGAUGGUGAACUACAAAGAGCAUUCCUUGAUAUUGCAUGCUUCUUUGUUGGUAUAGAGAAAGAAUACGUCGCACAAGUGCUAGGAGCCCGUUGCCGUCGCAAUCCAGAAGUUGUUUUGGAAACUCUCCGUGAAAGGUCUCUGAUUCAAUUUCAUGAGUGUAUAAUUGAAGAUGAAAGGCAGUUAUCUGGAAGGACGGUAGCCAUGCAUGAUCUAUUACGAGACAUGGGAAGGGAGGUCGUUUGUAAAGAGUCUCCCUUGCAUCCUGAAGCAAGGACCAGAAUUUGGAAUAAAGACGAUGCAUGGAAUGUACUUGAGCAGCACAAGGUAAGUAAGAGCUCAAUGCAUACACGAAAGCAUAGUCAUGCGUAUUUUCUAGUCAAGCUUAUUACAAAUAAUUGAAUGAAAGUUGUAUUGAUUUUUUUUUUAGGGUACGGAUAAAGUUGAGGGUCUUGCACUGGAUGUCAGAGCAUCAGAAACUAAAUCACUUAGCGCAGGAUCAUUUGCAGAAAUGAAAUGUUUAAAUUUACUCAAAAUCAACGGAGCACAUCUCACCGGAUCCUUCAAAUUGCUUUCUAAAGAGUUGAUGUGGAUUUGUUGGCAUGAAUUUCCUUUGAAAUAUUUUCCAUCUUAUUUUACUUUGGACAAUCUAGCUGUUCUUGAUAUGCCGUACAGUAACCUCAAAGAACUAUGGAAGGGAAAAAAGGUGCGAAACAUGCUACAAUCCCUAAAAUUUCUCCAGUAUGUAAUUUAUAUUUACAUGUUAUGACUUUCUAUGAUUAAUUUUCAUUAUUUUUCUCUCUAUUAUAACAGAUUCUCGACAAGCUUAAAAUUCUUAAUCUCAGUCAUUCUCAGCACCUUAUUAAAACACCAGACUUGCACAGUUCAAGUCUAGAGAAACUAAUUCUGGAAGGUUGCUCGAGUUUAGUUGAGGUGCAUCAAUCAAUUGAAAAUUUGACGAGCCUUGUUUUCUUAAAUCUGAAGGGAUGUUGGAGUCUGAAGACUCUCCCUGAAAGCAUUGACAAUGUAAAAUCUCUUGAAACUCUGAAUAUUUCUGGGUGUUCACAAGUUGAGAAAUUGCCGGAACGCAUGGGUGAUAUGGAAUUCUUAACCGAGCUGCUAGCUGAUGGGAUUGAAAAUGAGCAAUUUCUCUCUUCAAUUGGACAAUUAAAGCAUUGCAGAAGGUUAUCAUUGUGUGGAGACAGUUCGACGCCACCAAGUUCUUCUUUGAUUUCAACAGGUGUUUUGAAUUGGAAACGUUGGCUGCCAGCAUCUUUCAUUGAAUGGAUAUCAGUGAAACAUCUUGAGCUUUCUAAUAGUGGUUUGUCUGAUCGCGCAACUAACUGUGUUGAUUUCAGUGGUUUGUCCGCUCUAGAAAAAUUGACUCUAGAUGGAAACAAAUUCUCUAGCCUGCCUUCUGGGAUCGGCUUCCUUUCCGAGCUAAGGGAGUUGUCUGUUAAGGGAUGCAAAUAUCUUGUAUCAAUCCCAGAUCUUCCCUCAAGUUUAAAGAGUGUGUUUGCAUGUGAUUGCAAAUCAUUGAAAAGAGUAAGAAUACCAAGCGAGCCAAAAAAAAGACUAUUUAUAAAGCUAGAUGAAAGUCAUUCGUUAGAAGAGUUUCAGGGCAUUGAAGAUCUAAGUAAUUGUUUCUGGUAUAUUCGUGUUGAUGACCGCAGGCAUUCAACAAGUAAAUUACUGGAGCGUUGUUGAGGUACUAUUUCUUUCCGUCUCUCUUUCGCACAAAAAGAAACACACACAAUUGACACAUACAUUGAUUAAUGUCUAAAAUCUCAGCAUUCCUUGAAAUCAAUAUGUAUAUAGGCAAUAAUCAUUAUUAUUAUUAUUAUAUUUAAAAAAACAAAUAUCAUCUUUAAUAAUAUUUUUUUAUUAAAUAUUUAAAGUCUGAUUGGUUUUAUUUUUUAUUUCUUGAUUUUAUGAUAAUAUAUUUAUACAGGCAAUGUGCAACGGUCGUCACGGGUAUUUUAUUCGCCACACUCCUGGUCAGAUGCCAAAUUGGAUGAGCUACAGGGGAGAAGGACGCUCAUUGUCAUUCCAUAUACCUCCAGUCUUCCAAGGCUUAGUUGUUUGGGUUGAUAAGGAUGAUAAGGAUGCUCACAUUAUUAUUAUUAUAAGAAAUAAUAGAAAUGGUAAUCUCUUGUUUCAAUGUACGAAAUGGUAUUAUCAUCCAAAAACUGGAAGUAUAAGAUACAUAAGAAGAAGUGAAAUGGCAAUGGAAGAUUACUGUGCAGAUGACGAAUUGGAACUAUACAUUUAUUCAAAGCCAUCACCGUUGGCAAUGGCAAUGGCAAUGAAGGAUGCUGUGAUGCCUUCAUUUGAACCGUCUACACCUAAGCAAUGUGGGGUCCAUGUGAUCGUAGGAAAGUCAGAUUCAUUUGAAGAGUUGGCAGUGGGAAGAGAUGCAGUGAUGCUUCCUCAUCCUCGUUGUGGUUCGAUUACAGCGUCUACACCUAAGCAAUGGAUUGACUUUUUAUUUGCGAAGCUGCAAAACCAUAACCUCAAUUUAAGGCUUUUUGGUAAGAAUACAUAUUUCCUUUAGUUAUUUCUAUUUUAAUAUUCUAUUUAAUUUAAGAGAUUAAAUAUCAU
Molecule: long non-coding RNA, 32051 nt
Filed under: Populus trichocarpa (black cottonwood)
Lineage: Eukaryota; Viridiplantae; Streptophyta; Magnoliopsida; Malpighiales; Salicaceae
Description: long non-coding RNA (PTRI_LNC004305)
Source: RNAcentral